Molecule: ribosomal RNA, 437 nt
Filed under: uncultured bacterium
Lineage: Bacteria
Description: partial 16S ribosomal RNA
Rfam family: Bacterial small subunit ribosomal RNA
Source: RNAcentral
GAUGAACGCUGGUGGCAUGCUUAACACAUGCAAGUCGGACGGGCAGUGGUGUUUCCAGUGGCGGCCGGGUGAGUAACGCGUAAGAAGCUGCCCUUGGGAGGGGAACAACAGCUGGAAACGGCUGCUAAUACCCCGUAGGCUGAGGAGCAAAAGGAGGAAUCCGCCCGAGGAGGGGCGCGCGUCUGAUUAGCUAGUUGGUGAGGCAAUAGCUUACCAAGGCGAUGAGCAGUAGCUGGUCUGAGAGGAUGAUCACCCACACUGGGGCUGAGACACGGCCCAGACACCCACGGGAGGCGGCAGAGGGGAAAAUUCCGCGAUGGGGGAAAGCCUGACAGGGCGAUGCGGCGUGGGAGUGGAGGGGCUACGAGGAGUGAAAUUCUUUUCCCGGGGAAGAGGCAAUGACGGUACCUGGAGAAUAAGCCCCGGCUAACUCUGUG